Molecule: long non-coding RNA, 1765 nt
Organism: Callithrix jacchus (white-tufted-ear marmoset)
Lineage: Eukaryota; Metazoa; Chordata; Mammalia; Primates; Cebidae
Source: Ensembl
CAAAGUGUUUCAAGGUGGUUUCGAAUUUAUUUUCUUCCUGCAAAUGUGUAUGAAUAUCCAAUUAGUCUGUCAGACACUGGAGAUACCAGGGUGUGUAGGAAAGGGCAACUACUUUUGAGGAGUCCAGAGUCACCUAAAUAACCAAAUACCAGAGAGAACGUGGUGUAGUUGACCAAUCUAGUGAGACAGACUUGGGUUCAAAUCCUGGCUCUGCAUGCGCUAGUUUUGUAAUCUUGGGCAAGUGAUUUAUUAUUAAUAUUUUUCAUAUCCUUUCAGCAGGGCUGACAAUAAUGUUAAUUCAUAGGUUGUUUGAGGAUUAAAUGUGAUAACUGAUGUAAAGCCCUUGGAAGACUGCCCAGCACAUGGCAAACCUUGGAUGAAGGUGACUGCUACAACAAUUUAACAGCUGUGCAAUCUUGGGCAGGUGAUAUUGCUGCAUCUGUUUACAUACGUGGAAGAUGCGGAUGGCAGCACGAUGACUCAUCGUGACUCUUCAACUGCAAGACUUUUUGUUGUUUGCAUGUGACUACAAGGCAUGGUACUGCUCAGAGCCUGUCCCAGCGCUCCUGGGUGAUGAAUCUGUGCGGAACGAAUAUGUGAAUUCCAUGUUUCACUGCUGCAACCUCAUCACGUCCUCAGAAUAAAUGUGAGAAAUAGGCAUUAUGAUCUCCACUCAGCCAAUGAAGAAAUUGAGAGGUUGCUGGUUCAAAGCGCACGGAGCGGCCAGUCGAUUUAUUGCUGUACAGGAAAAGGAAUGGCAUACAGAAGACUCCCCAGAAGAUUCUCAACAAGCAGAGUCAAUUACUUGGGAGAACACUGCCUUGCAAGUCUUAGCGUCUCAGAAUAAGAAAGUCAUGGGAGGGUGUCUAUAGAGAUUUAGGGCCUGGACAGUUUUGACAUAAUAGUUGUAGAUUGGUGGGAAUAUCCAGGCCAGGGUUUUGAAGUGAGUUUUGGUGAGCAAGUGUUAUUCUCGAUUAAUAAGCUAUUUAGUUGAUUCCGAGUCUUAUCUCCCAGGAGAAGGAUAUUCCUGGAGCAGGAAACUCUUUCUGCCUUUUCCUGUAUUGUUUAGCACAGGCACAAGAAAGUGUACUAGCUUCAGUAUUGUUCAACAGAUCUUGGGAAAUCAUCUUGGCUUCAGUUCUCGAGAAGGAUAAAUUGCUUGCACUGAGAUAAAAAUGUAGAACGUGACCUCUAGGACUAACUCAAGAUUACGUAUGCAAUCGCCACCAAUUUCAAAUUCCAGUGCAAUUGCCUUUCAAGAACUCCAAAUGCCUCAUUUUUGUAAACUUCCACCCAGACAUGAUGUGCUGAGCUGAUGGGCUCCAUGACAAGGUGAAGACACUCAAGAAUGAGCCUUUAGAGACCAGCUGUUUAACACAGUGGUCAAAGUUCCUAGAGUACACAAACUCCUGGGAGGAUCAUGGGUAAGAACGUUGAGUUCAUCUUCAUUUCCUUUAGACACCAGCGACCAUCAGGGCUAAAAGUAAUAAUUUGUCUCUAAAAAUAAAGAAAAUUGUAUUUUUUAGCAUACCUGCUCUUGUGCCCUGAGUUUGUUCAAAAUGUGUGUGUGUGCAUGUGCAUGUGUGUGCGUGUGCGUGUGUGUGCGUGUGUGUGUUCUUAGCUUGGAUUGCCCUGAAAGCAGACCUGUGACAGAGAUGUGAGUGCAGGUAAUUCACCUGGGUGAUCUCAGAACACCAGGAGUGGAGUAGGAAAGAGUGAGCAGGGAGGAAGCAAUCCAGGCUGCAGCAUGAAGCAUGGAGGGAGG